CCCCAUACUUCCUCCGAAGCAAGCUCCGGCGUCGUAACAGUGGAUAUCCAAUGGAUAUCCAAAAUAAAUCAUUUGGAAUUAAAAUUUAUAUUUUAUAAUAUGAUAAUAAUAAUUUAUUUACUUAGAUUAUUAAAUUUAUUCAAAGUUAACUCAUGAAAAUAUUUAUUAUUUGUUGCAUCUUGUUUAUACAUGUGAAUAUGUGUCUAUAUAUCCGCGGAUUUCGGGUAACUAUUUCGGUUUUGGGUAUCCGUUCGGGUUUCGGGUAUCCGCGGGUUUGGUUUUGGUGUUGAAUUUCCACCCGAUUUGGUUUCGGUUUUGGUUUCGGGUUUCGACUUCGCGUUUCGGUUUUGGGUGCACGGAGACUCCACCCGAUCCAAACCCAACCUGUUGCCAUCCUUAAAUGGUGCUCUUCCUUCACUUAGUUGUCAGGUUAGUGUGUUGGCUUCAAUGGUGCCUUAAUGAACGAGUGGACAUGGCUAAGCCCCAUUUAUCGCAGCUGGAUAUUAUCUCAAAACAAUUUUGAUCUCAGCAUACUCUUAUAUAUGGCUAACAAAUUUUUAAUUUAAUAUGUCGCUAAUCUCAUUGACAUCGGUUUUAUGUACUCUAAUAUUAGUUUUUAUGUACAGCUUGAUUCGAAAGAUAUGCUACUUCAUGAAGAGCAGAUAGCUAAAGUUCAAGAACACGUCAUUCAGCAGGUGUAUGGUGAUACUGUGCUUGCCGAAAAAAACACUUCAUUUCAGUGUCGAGGCUGGCUGGCUGGCUGCAAUAAGGUAAUAACGUGGACAUUGUCGGAUUCAUGGUUGGAUGACUGUUGUUACCUAUGAAUUCCGUAAUUACUCUCCUAGAUUGAUUUUACGCUUCUAUAGUUUACCUGCUCCUACAUAGCGAUUGCAAGACUAGAUUUCCUUACAAAGCUACACUGAGAUAUUUUUUCCCUGAAAAAGAAAGUUACUCUAGAUGCUUCCUUACACAAAAUGUGUAGCUUUCCCAGUUUUGCUAAUAAAGCUGGUAAAAAGGAUUGAUGUUCUUGUGGUUGGUUUGACACUUUGAAAUUACCACUGCUUUGCAGCAAACAAUAAAGUGUGCAUAAUCGUUCUAUUUUUAUCUUUUAUGUGCUUCAUGAAGACCUAUAUUUGAUCCUGUUCAGCUGAGUGUUGAUGAAUUAUGUACCUUUUUGCCAUAAACACAUAAUUAUCAACAUAAAGAAAGAUAUCGACUGGGACCACCUUGAGUUCAGGAUUUGAGCCACCAAAUUUGUUGUUCUUUCUUUCCAAAAGGUUGUCUUCUCCUAAAUUUUAAUAUCCCACUACAGGCAGGUCAAAAAAAGGGUUGACCGUGCCUACACAAAGCUAUCCAAAGCUAAUACUGACACUGCCAAGUUAAACCAAUGUCCUAUCCCUAUUCAGCUGUAUUUGUAGCCUUUGAACGAUUUGGAAUCCCACUAUUUUGACAUUGUUGACAUCAUACAUCCACAAUAUAAUUCCGUCUUUAAACUAAACCAAAAAAAAGAUCUUUCAGUCCAAACUUACUUCCUCAGUCAGCAUCUAUGUUUUCUUUUAUUUUUACCAGACAUAUCUAUUUGCUUCAUCCACUUUGGGUCUCUUACAUAAAUAAAAUUAUUACAUUCAGUUGCACUACACUUUUACUUUUUCCACUACCAGUGCAGAACAUAGAGCGCCAAUCACCUGUGCCAAAAACUUUCAGAAUGUUGUUGACAGAGGUGGCUGAUUUCAUAUAUGUUCAAAGAUCUGAUCAUUCAUCUAAACCCAUAGAUAUGCAGUUUAUGCUAAAUAUUUAGGACAUCACUUAUGUUUCCAGACGUAGGAAAAAAAUUCUGAAAAAGUUUAUGUAUCCAUAUGAAUUUACUUCAUAUAUUUAGUGACACCUUUCCAACGUGUCUUAACCCUGUGACGAUUCUAUUUUAGUGAUACAGGUAAAAGAAAGCGAUGAAGAAACAUACAUAGACAAGAGCAUCGAACCAACACCCCCUCCCCCCCCCCCCCCCCCCUCUACCACCACCACCACAAAAAAAACCAGCCAUUCCUCAUUAGAUUACACAGCAAAGAGGUGAUUUCGUUGAGCAAUAUAAUACAUACCUAUAUAUUAUAGCACCCAGAACGGAAUAUAAGUUCUGCGCAUUAUGCAGUUUCCAAUACCAAAGUCAUAAAAAGAGAAAAUCCAUGUUGCCAUGCAGGGAAAUAGCAGCAGAAGAACAAGCUUCUCGCAGUAAAAAUAGGUGAGGCCCAAUCACGCUGCCCAUGUAGUCAGAUAUUGCUCACCUAAUAUUAAUUGUAUGCUUCAUGCCUUCAAUUUACUCUGGUUUUCUGAUGUGGUAGUUUUGUGUAUAGUUAGAAUGGGCGGGUCUCUUCUUUUUCACUUGCUCUUUCUUUUCCUACUAAAGUUCCCACGCUGCUCAUUAUCUUUUAAUUUUUUAUUUAUUUUAUUUACAGUACACAAUAUCUCCAGAAUUUUUACUCUCUUAAUAGAUUUAGUGUCUUCGUUCCAUACUACCUAUGAGACUAGAUCUUUUCCUACUAUUAUGACAGAUUUAAUAAGUGUCUUACAUACUCCUCGUGCUACUAACCGUUCUCCUUAUCCUACAACAAGUAUAUGAAACAGCGACAUGGAUCUACCAUUUUGUAACAUGAACAAGCUAUGCUCGGUGCAUAUGACAAGUCCCUAAUCACUUUCCUAUAUCCAGCCUGAUAAAAACAGUAAACUGACCAUCAAUUAUGGAGAAUUCAUCGCUGCAGUUGUGCCUCUUAAGAAAAUAGAACGUGAUGAGCACUUCAUGGCACCUUUUACUUCGACAGAGAUGGCAGUGCUCAGCGAGCUUCUGGAGACCAUAACAUGGACCACACUUUCUUUGAAGAGAUCAUUUAAGAUAUCGAACCAAACAAUGUAAGUUGGUUCUCUUACUUUAAGGACAGUAGUAGUGCAAAAAGAUUUUACCAUCAAUGUGAAUUACUUGGGCUACCUAAACAUGUCAGUCUCAUUCUAGACCGUGCGGUUGCAUUGCACGAAAAUACUACAAUGGUUCCUGACUGGGCUCAUUGCGUCAACCACAUAGUCUUAACUCACAGCUGUUGAUUUCAGCAACCAUAAAGGAUAAAAAAAUGUAAAUAUACUUGCUGACAGACCCUUCACCUUUUGAUCUUCAAUUUACAUGCGACAAUUCUCCUUGCCGAUAAUUCUCCUAUGUUUUUUUUUGCAAUUGACCUGACAAAUAGGCAAUAUAUUAUAGAAAUAUAUGAUCUGCAUGAUACUAUAGAAUUAUAUGACCUGACCAUAGCUGUUAAGAACUUAGGACUACCAAAUACCAACAAGGCCUCUGCUUAGUUCUAUUGUACUACUUCACUAAUGCAUAUGCUCUUGUGUCUGCUUUUCAGGAUGGUCAAAUCGACUGUGCCCCAAGUUCAUAGCGAUAAAACAAAUCAACAAAGUUUGGACUUUGGUGGUAACCAAUGCAAAACACUUGCAAUAUAUAACCUUGACAGGUGCACAUCAAGUACACUGUCAGUGAUGCACUAACCAUGUUCUUCACUUAUUAAUCGAUUAUUCGUCAAGCUCAGUGAAUCAAAUUAUUUAACAGUAUUUAUAUCCCAAAUAAGUGUAGCCUGCCAAGCAAUAUGUAAUUUGUCAUGAGAGUUUGCAGUUUUUACAUUAUGCAAUAAAAAAACAAUUGCCUAUAUUUACGAACUCGCGCGAGGGCGCGUGCCUUCCACUAGUGCAAACACAAAUUCGGUGAUGAAUGAAGCAAACAAAAGCCGGUGCAGACACUUGUGGGCCAUAGCAGUUCUGGUUUCCAUUCUCAAGUCCGAUCCGGGGCCUUGUUUAGUUCGAACUAAAAUAAAAAAAAA
RNAcentral lists this long non-coding RNA (3860 nucleotides) under Sorghum bicolor (sorghum). RNAcentral describes it as "long non-coding RNA (SBIC_LNC018375)". The record is from RNAcentral. Lineage: Eukaryota; Viridiplantae; Streptophyta; Magnoliopsida; Poales; Poaceae.